ACACUUUCCUAAUUGUUGUCCACUUCUCUUCCCCGUAUUGCCUGCCUCUCUCCAUUGAAAAUUGCAUCUACUUCGUCUCCUGCUGUGAGUAUUUCGCACCCUAUCUCUUGAUGAUUCUUGAUGGCUUUGUCGAUACAAGGUAUGAUCUUCUCCCUUUCCUCUUUUGCCAUGUUGUUUCCUUCUAAUCAUUUUCGAUCUAUCUCAGGUCGUCGUGAUUUCUCUCUGUAGAGGUACUUUUGUGGACAAAACCCUCUCUGGUUGCUGUUGUUUUCCUCUAUCUCCAAAUGAAUGACCCCGAUCUUGCUAUCUUCUCUUCUUGGUGGACAUAUUUUACAGCAACGACUAGUCCUAGCUAGACUUCCGUCAUAGCUUCCAUCAUUCAUCGCCCUAACACCGUUUGUUAUGUAUUUAACUUUACCAUAUUUAUCUGCUUCCUCUAUCAAUCUCAUUGUGUGGUUAUCUUUCUUGUUUUAAUUCUGAUGCUUGGUAUUUAAGCUUUAUCCAUGUUUAGUAUUUUCUUCAUGUUGCUGGGUAGUUCUUGAAAUGUAUUGUAUGUCUUUGUGUCUUGUGUUUCCACCAC
Molecule: long non-coding RNA, 580 nt
Filed under: Solanum tuberosum (potato)
Lineage: Eukaryota; Viridiplantae; Streptophyta; Magnoliopsida; Solanales; Solanaceae
Description: long non-coding RNA (STUB_LNC005164)
Source: RNAcentral